UGCUAGUCGCACGAGUUCAGACUCGUGGCGAAUAGCUCAGUAACACGUGGCCAAACUACCCUUCGGAGCACGAUACCCUCGGGAAACUGAGGCUAAUAGUGCAUACCACAUCACAGCUGGAAUGAGUGAUGUGCCAAACGCUCCGGCGCCGAAGGAUGUGGCUGCGGCCGAUUAGGUAGACGGUGGGGUAACGGCCCACCGUGCCAAUAAUCGGUACGGGUCAUGAGAGUGAGAACCCGGAGACGGAAUCUGAGACAAGAUUCCGGGCCCUACGGGGCGCAGCAGGCGCGAAACCUUUACACUGCACGCCAGUGCGAUAAGGGAAUCCCAAGUGCGCAGGCAUAGAGCCUGCGCUUUUGUACACCGUAGGGAGGUGUACGAAUAAGGGCUGGGCAAGACCGGUGCCAGCCGCCGCGGUAAUACCGGCAGCCCGAGUGAUGGCCGAUCUUAUUGGGCCUAAAGCGUCCGUAGCUGGCCGCGCAAGUCUAUCGGAAAAUCCACCCGCUCAACGGGUGGGCGUCCGGUAGAAACUGCGUGGCUUGGGACCGGAAGGCGCGACGGGUACGUCCGGGGUAGGAGUGAAAUCCCGUAAUCCUGGACGGACCGCCGAUGGCGAAAGCACGUCGCGAGGACGGAUCCGACAGUGAGGGACGAAAGCCAGGGUCUCGAACCGGAUUAGAUACCCGGGUAGUCCUGGUCGUAAACAAUGUCUGUUAGGUGUGGCUCCCACUACGAGUGGGUGCUGUG
Molecule: ribosomal RNA, 747 nt
Filed under: Halorubrum sp. CaD1
Lineage: Archaea; Methanobacteriati; Methanobacteriota; Halobacteria; Halobacteriales; Haloferacaceae
Description: bacterial SSU rRNA
Rfam family: Archaeal small subunit ribosomal RNA
Source: RNAcentral